UUUAUCGACAUUUACUGACAUUUACUUUAUCGUAAAUUUACUACUGACAUUUACUGACAUUUACUUUAUCGUAAAUUUACUUUAAAGGGUGGUGCGGGUUUAUCGUCCACGCCUUUACUGUCAUUUAAAUGUAUGGAGAAGAAUUAGUGCCCAUACAAGCACGUUUACUUUACCGCACAUUUACAGUAUGGUGCGGGAUUAACGUCCAUACAGCAAUUUAAUUUAUGAAUUUACUUUACCGCACAUUUAAAGUAUGGUGCUGGAUUAACGUCCAUACAAGUAAUUUAUUUAACAGUAAAUUUAUUUUAUGGAUUAAUUGUGCUGUAUGAUGAGUUUUUACAGUAUACAGAUCAGGACCAGAAGGUCCUUGAUCCUCAUCAUACAUUUACAUCAGGACUUGAAGAUCCUUGAUGAUGAUAUUGAUAUGAG
Molecule: long non-coding RNA, 429 nt
Filed under: Prunus dulcis (almond)
Lineage: Eukaryota; Viridiplantae; Streptophyta; Magnoliopsida; Rosales; Rosaceae
Description: sRNA ncRNA
Source: RNAcentral